UACAGAGGUCUCAAGCGUUGUUCGGAUUCAUUGGGCGUAAAGGGCGCGUAGGCGGCCUUCUAAGUCGAACGUGAAAUCCCCGGGCUCAACCCGGGAACUGCGUCCGAUACUGGAAGGCUUGAAUCCGGGAGAGGGAUGCGGAAUUCCAGGUGUAGCGGUGAAAUGCGUAGAUAUCUGGAGGAACACCGGUGGCGAAGGCGGCAUCCUGGACCGGCAUUGACGCUGAGGCGCGAAAGCGUGGGGAGCAAACAGG
RNAcentral lists this ribosomal RNA (253 nucleotides) under uncultured bacterium. Its description in RNAcentral is "partial 16S ribosomal RNA". It matches the Rfam family "Bacterial small subunit ribosomal RNA", at positions 524 to 776 of the family's 1533-position model. The record is from RNAcentral.